UGAUGUGGUGCUGUGGGGGGGGGCUUCCCAGCAGUCGAGCGGAAGGCCCUUCGGGGUACUCGAGCGGCGAACGGGUGAGUAACACGUGAGUAAUCUGCCCUUCACUUCGGGAUAGCCCCGGGAAACCGGGAUUAAUACCGGAUAUGACCCAUCCCCGCAUGGGGUGUGGGUGGAAAGUUUUUCGGUGGGGGAUGUGCUCGCGGCCUAUCAGCUUGAUGGUGGGGUAAUGGCCUACCAUGGCUUCGACGGGUAGCCGGCCUGAGAGGGUGACCGGUCACACUGGGACUGAAACACGGGCCAGACUCCUACGGGAGGCAGCAGUGGGGAAUAUUGGACAAUGGGCGAAAGCCUGAUCCAGCGACGCCGCGUGGGUGAUGAAGGCCUUCGGGUUGUAAAGCCCUGUCGGGAGGGACGAAGUUCUGACGGUACCUCCCAAGAAAGCACCGGCUAACUCCGUGCCAGCAGCCGCGGUAAUA
This 476-nucleotide ribosomal RNA is filed under the name uncultured Nocardioides sp. RNAcentral's name for it is "bacterial SSU rRNA". It matches the Rfam family "Bacterial small subunit ribosomal RNA", at positions 37 to 525 of the family's 1533-position model. Lineage: Bacteria; Bacillati; Actinomycetota; Actinomycetes; Propionibacteriales; Nocardioidaceae. The record is from RNAcentral.